GACGAACGCUGGCGGCGUGCUUAACACAUGCAAGUCGAACGGAAAGGCCCUGCUUUUGUGGGGUGCUCGAGUGGCGAACGGGUGAGUAACACGUGAGUAACCUGCCCUUGACUUUGGGAUAACUUCAGGAAACUGGGGCUAAUACCGGAUAGGAGCUCCUGCUGCAUGGUGGGGGUUGGAAAGUUUCGGCGGUUGGGGAUGGACUCGCGGCUUAUCAGCUUGUUGGUGGGGUAGUGGCUUACCAAGGCUUUGACGGGUAGCCGGCCUGAGAGGGUGACCGGCCACAUUGGGGCUGAGAUACGGCACAGACGCCUACGGGAGGCAGCAGGGGGGAGUAUUGCACAAUGGGCGGAAGCCUGAUGCAGCAACGCCGCGUGCGGGAUGACGGCCUUCGGGUUGUAAACCGCUUUCGCCUGUGACGAAGCGUGAGUGACGGUAAUGGGUAAAGAAGCACCGGCUAACUACGUG
This 468-nucleotide ribosomal RNA is filed under the name uncultured bacterium. RNAcentral's name for it is "partial 16S ribosomal RNA". It matches the Rfam family "Bacterial small subunit ribosomal RNA", at positions 28 to 507 of the family's 1533-position model. The record is from RNAcentral.